CACGUAGGGGGCAAGCGUUGUCCGGAUUUAUUGGGCGUAAAGAGCUCGUAGGCGGCUAAGUAAGUCAGGUGUGAAAACUCCAGGCUCAACCUGGAGACGCCACCUGAUACUGCUUUGGCUAGAGUCCGGUAGGGGAGCAUGGAAUUCCUGGUGUAGCGGUGAAAUGCGCAGAUAUCAGGAGGAACACCAGUGGCGAAGGCGGUGCUCUGGGCCGGUACUGACGCUGAGGAGCGAAAGCGUGGGGAGCAAACAGG
RNAcentral lists this ribosomal RNA (254 nucleotides) under uncultured bacterium. RNAcentral describes it as "partial 16S ribosomal RNA". It matches the Rfam family "Bacterial small subunit ribosomal RNA", at positions 524 to 776 of the family's 1533-position model. The record is from RNAcentral.